UCUGUGCCACUUGCCCAAAAGGCGCGCC
RNAcentral lists this non-coding RNA (28 nucleotides) under Mus musculus (house mouse). The record is from RNAcentral. Lineage: Eukaryota; Metazoa; Chordata; Mammalia; Rodentia; Muridae.